UUUAUUGGAGAGUUUGAUCCUGGCUCAGGAUGAACGCUGGCGGCGUGCCUAAUACAUGCAAGUCGAGCGAAUGGAUUGAGAGCUUGCUCUCAAGAAGUUAGCGGCGGACGGGUGAGUAACACGUGGGUAACCUGCCCAUAAGACUGGGAUAACUCCGGGAAACCGGGGCUAAUACCGGAUAACAUUUUGAACUGCGUGGUUCGAAAUUGAAAGGCGGCUUCGGCUGUCACUUAUGGAUGGACCCGCGUCGCAUUAGCUAGUUGGUGAGGUAACGGCUCACCAAGGCAACGAUGCGUAGCCGACCUGAGAGGGUGAUCGGCCACACUGGGACUGAGACACGGCCCAGACUCCUAC
This 354-nucleotide ribosomal RNA is filed under the name Bacillus cereus. RNAcentral describes it as "bacterial SSU rRNA". It matches the Rfam family "Bacterial small subunit ribosomal RNA", at positions 1 to 342 of the family's 1533-position model. Lineage: Bacteria; Bacillati; Bacillota; Bacilli; Caryophanales; Bacillaceae. The record is from RNAcentral.